This 322-nucleotide unclassified non-coding RNA is filed under the name Hevea brasiliensis (rubber tree). The record is from RNAcentral. Lineage: Eukaryota; Viridiplantae; Streptophyta; Magnoliopsida; Malpighiales; Euphorbiaceae.
UUCAGCUCCAAGGAUAUGAUAUCAGGGAAAUAAUACAAGGAACUUGACUUGGGCACCAUAAUUCUCUGGACAAAGUCGUCUUCAUCAGCUUGUCGCAGUUGCUGAACGUAGGAACGAAUCUGGUUUUAUUUUCUGUAAUUUAGGCCAAAUGCUGGUUGGAGCUUGCAAGUAAUGUGGGAAGCCGAAAAAUCCACAAGGAAGCUUCUGUUCAUUUUUCAAUAAUCUAGUAUACUAUUUGGUGUAGGUUUUGAGUACACAGUUCUCAUAUAAUGUAUCCUUGUGAGUACAUGUUGAUCGUGAUCGUUGUAUGAAUGAAUUUUUG